GACAGAGGGUGCAAACGUUGUUCGGAAUUACUGGGCGUAAAGCGCGUGUAGGCUGCUCCGAUAGUCGGAUGUGAAAGCCCUGGGCUCAACCUAGGAAGUGCAUUCGAUACUCCGGAGCUUGAGUCCUGGAGAGGAAGGCGGAAUUCUCGGUGUAGAGGUGAAAUUCGUAGAUAUCGGGAGGAACACCGGUGGCGAAGGCGGCGAUCUGGGUCGAUACUGACGCUGAGGUGCGAAAGCGUGGGGAGCAAACAGG
Molecule: ribosomal RNA, 253 nt
Filed under: uncultured bacterium
Lineage: Bacteria
Description: partial 16S ribosomal RNA
Rfam family: Bacterial small subunit ribosomal RNA
Source: RNAcentral